This 375-nucleotide long non-coding RNA is filed under the name Anser cygnoides (Swan goose). RNAcentral describes it as "lncRNA (ENSACDG00005005428.1)". Lineage: Eukaryota; Metazoa; Chordata; Aves; Anseriformes; Anatidae. The record is from RNAcentral.
AUGAAAUGCCUUGUCCCAUAUCAUGCCAACAGCCUGAACCAGUCUGGAAUAGCGUCGAGGUGGAGUGAUUUGCAUACCCAUUUAAGUUCACAGUUAAUGCUAAUUGGUGGUAGCUGGAAAAUGGAGCUUCUCAAACUGAUCCUUGCCAUUUCGAGAGUUCAGUUCCCAGGGUUACUCCCACUAGCCCUAGGACCCACCUGCUUCCCCGGUUCUUUUCUCCAGCUUUGUGUGACAAGCAAGAAGCUGUUGCCAUAUGUCCUAGUGGGGAAGCCUUCCCUGUGCAGAGCAGCAGGAGUUAUUGUGUCACGGUGGAGAAAUCCUAACGUUGGGAUCCUGCAGUAUGUGGCAUUACAGGGGACUCUUGAAGCUGACUAG